GCAUCUGUAGUCCAACGGUAAGGAUAAUUGCCUUCCAAGCAAUAGAUCCGGGUUCGACUCCCGGCAGACGCA
Molecule: non-coding RNA, 72 nt
Organism: Triticum aestivum (bread wheat)
Lineage: Eukaryota; Viridiplantae; Streptophyta; Magnoliopsida; Poales; Poaceae
Source: Rfam